RNAcentral lists this ribosomal RNA (251 nucleotides) under uncultured bacterium. RNAcentral describes it as "partial 16S ribosomal RNA". It matches the Rfam family "Bacterial small subunit ribosomal RNA", at positions 524 to 773 of the family's 1533-position model. The record is from RNAcentral.
UACAGAGGGGGCAAGCGUUGUUCGGAAUUACUGGGCGUAAAGGGCGCGUAGGCGGCCGCUUAAGUCGAACGUGAAAUCCCCGGGCUCAACCCGGGAACUGCGUCCGAUACUGGGGGGCUUGAAUUCGGGAGAGGGAUGCGGAAUUCCAGGUGUAGCGGUGAAAUGCGUAGAUAUCUGGAGGAACACCGGUGGCGAAGGCGGCAUCCUGGACCGAGAUUGACGCUGAGGCGCGAAAGCCAGGGGGAGCAAAC